RNAcentral lists this long non-coding RNA (536 nucleotides) under Androctonus crassicauda. The record is from RNAcentral. Lineage: Eukaryota; Metazoa; Arthropoda; Arachnida; Scorpiones; Buthidae.
UUCAGUUGUGGCAUCGGUUCAGUUCAGUUCUGGGAACAGUCAGAAACUAGAAGUGCACUGUUCCAGAGUACCUCUGCCUUUGUGUGUCCUGAGUUUACCAGGCAGGUUGCUUGGAGCAAAAAGAUGGUCUUACCUCUACUCUUCGGUGUUUAGGCAAUCUUGGGAACAGGCAGAAACCUGAAGGGUCCUGCCCCUGACUGCUUCUAGGUCCCUUUGCCCGGAGGUCACUGAUGGCACUAGGUGAUUUCCUCUUGGGUCAGGAAUGUGGGCAGAAAGUGGUUGUCUCCUCUGAGUUCUCAGGAGUGUCUACACUCUGAGGGCCCACUUUCGCCCCCACAGGAUUUGGGUUCAGGGAUCUGUGGGACAUGUUCAGUUUUCUAGUGUCCAAUAUUACUAGUCAACUUUCAGCCUCUGUUAUGCUUUUGUAACCUCUCCCAUUCCCAGAAUUCCAAGAGGCAACUGACACUAAAGGUCAUAGUAUGAAGCAGUUCUAGAGAAUAAUAAUUCGAAAAGAGUUAGUUGACUAGCCAUAUGCU